Molecule: ribosomal RNA, 492 nt
Filed under: uncultured bacterium
Lineage: Bacteria
Description: partial 16S ribosomal RNA
Rfam family: Bacterial small subunit ribosomal RNA
Source: RNAcentral
AUUGAACGCUGGCGGCAUGCUUUACACAUGCAAGUCGAACGGUAACAGGCCUUCGGGUGCUGCCGAGUGGCGAACGGGUGAGUAAUGCAUCGGAACGUGCCCAGAGGUGGGGGAUAACGCAGCGAAAGCUGUGCUAAUACCGCAUGUGAUCUGAGGAUGAAAGCGGGGGACCAAGCAGCAAUGUUUGGCCUCGCGCCUCUGGAGCGGCCGAUGUCAGAUUAGGUAGUUGGUGGGGUAAAGGCCUACCAAGCCGACGAUCUGUAGCUGGUCUGAGAGGACGACCAGCCACACUGGGACUGAGACACGGCCCAGACUCCUACGGGAGGCAGCAGUGGGGAAUUUUGGACAAUGGGCGCAAGCCUGAUCCAGAAAUGCCGCGUGCGGGAAGAAGGCCUUCGGGUUGUAAACCGCUUUUGUACGGAACGAAAAGGCUCUGGCUAAUACCUGGGGCUGAUGACGGUACCGUAAGAAUAAGCACCGGCUAACUACGUG